RNAcentral lists this small RNA (88 nucleotides) under Flavobacterium sp. 5. RNAcentral describes it as "Flavo-1 RNA". It matches the Rfam family "Flavo-1 RNA". The record is from RNAcentral. Lineage: Bacteria; Pseudomonadati; Bacteroidota; Flavobacteriia; Flavobacteriales; Flavobacteriaceae.
CGUUUGCGUGAGGGAUUGAAGUGGAGCUCUUUUUUUAUCCCAUUUUUUUUGGGAUAAAAAAAAGCGGGAACGGAAAGCCCGACCCGAC